Molecule: transfer RNA, 73 nt
Filed under: Anneissia japonica
Lineage: Eukaryota; Metazoa; Echinodermata; Crinoidea; Comatulida; Comatulidae
Description: tRNA-Lys
Rfam family: tRNA
About the family: Transfer RNA (tRNA) molecules are approximately 80 nucleotides in length.
Source: RNAcentral
GCCCGGUUAGCUCAGUCGGUAGAAAAUCAGACUUUUAAUCUGAGGGUCAAGGGUUCAAGCCCCUUAUUGGGCG